Molecule: long non-coding RNA, 326 nt
Filed under: Triticum aestivum (bread wheat)
Lineage: Eukaryota; Viridiplantae; Streptophyta; Magnoliopsida; Poales; Poaceae
Description: long non-coding RNA (TAES_LNC001280)
Source: RNAcentral
GGCGUGGUCGUUUCCAGCCCGCCCUCCUCCUCCGGUGCCUUGCUGCGGCGUUCCGGGCCAGAUCUCGGAUGGCUUGAGGGGCGGCUUGGAUCGUGGCCCGUGCAGUGCGGCUGCCCUGGUGAGCCCUGAGUUUUCUUAUCCGCGAGACCGUCCAUCUGUAUUCAGAUCUUGAAUGAUAAUUUUUUGCUGCUGCUUUUUUGAUUCAUAUGGUCUUUCGAAUCCGAGCAGGGACUGGUCCUGGGCGAGCAUGCACACGACGCAGCUGUUCGGCGAGUGGAGGUGCCACGGGGAGUGGCGCUGCCUUUCCGAGGACAGGGCAACUUCGA